GACGAACGCUGGCGGCGUGCUUAACACAUGCAAGUCGAACGGAAAGGCCCUGCUUUUGUGGGGUGCUCGAGUGGCGAACGGGUGAGUAACACGUGAGUAACCUGCCCUUGACUUUGGGAUAACUUCAGGAAACUGGGGCUAAUACCGGAUAGGAGCUCCUGCUGCAUGGUGGGGGUUGGAAAGUUUCGGCGGUUGGGGAUGGACUCGCGGCUUAUCAGCUUGUUGGUGGGGUAGUGGCUUACCAAGGCUUUGACGGGUAGCCGGCCUGAGAGGGUGACCGGCCACAUUGGGACUGAGAUACGACACAGACUACUACGGGAGGCAGCAGUGGGGAAGAUUGCACAAUGGGCGGAAGCCUGAUGCAGCAACGCAGCGUGCGGGAUGACGGCCUGCGGGUUGUAAACCGCUGUCGCCUGUGACGAAGCGUGAGUGACGGUAAUGGGUAAAGAAGCACCGGCUAACUACGUG
Molecule: ribosomal RNA, 468 nt
Filed under: uncultured bacterium
Lineage: Bacteria
Description: partial 16S ribosomal RNA
Rfam family: Bacterial small subunit ribosomal RNA
Source: RNAcentral